GGAGAGGUGUACGAGUGGCUGAAGGAGCACGCCUGGAAAGUGUGUAACGGGCCACCGUUCGAGGGUUCGAAUCCCUCUCUCUCCGCCA
Molecule: transfer RNA, 88 nt
Filed under: Ectothiorhodospiraceae bacterium
Lineage: Bacteria; Pseudomonadati; Pseudomonadota; Gammaproteobacteria; Chromatiales; Ectothiorhodospiraceae
Description: tRNA-Ser
Rfam family: tRNA
About the family: Transfer RNA (tRNA) molecules are approximately 80 nucleotides in length. Their secondary structure includes four short double-helical elements and three loops (D, anti-codon, and T loops). Further hydrogen bonds mediate the characteristic L-shaped molecular structure. tRNAs have two regions of fundamental functional importance: the anti-codon, which is responsible for specific mRNA codon recognition, and the 3' end, to which the tRNAs corresponding amino acid is attached (by aminoacyl-tRNA synthetases). tRNAs cope with the degeneracy of the genetic code in two manners: having more than one tRNA (with a specific anti-codon) for a particular amino acid; and 'wobble' base-pairing, i.e. permitting non-standard base-pairing at the 3rd anti-codon position.
Source: RNAcentral